This 507-nucleotide ribosomal RNA is filed under the name Gephyromantis enki. RNAcentral's name for it is "partial 16S ribosomal RNA". It matches the Rfam family "Bacterial large subunit ribosomal RNA", at positions 1922 to 2597 of the family's 2925-position model. Lineage: Eukaryota; Metazoa; Chordata; Amphibia; Anura; Mantellidae. The record is from RNAcentral.
GUUUAACGGCCGCGGUACCCUAACCGCGCGAAGGUAGCAUAAUCACUUGUUCUUUAAAUGAGGACUCGUAUCAAUGGCACCACGAGGACUUUACUGUCUCCUUUUUCUAAUCAGUGAAACUAAUCUUCCCGUGAAGAAGCGGGAAUAAAUAGAUAAGACGAGAAGACCCCAUGGAGCUUUAAGCUUACUGCACCUCUAUUUUCUAUAACCUCUUAUUAAACGGAAUACUGCUUACUUAGCUUUAGGUUGGGGUGACCGCGGAGUAUAACAUAACCUCCAUGAUGAACAAAACUAUUUUCUUAUCUAAGAACAACAGUUCUAAGAAUUAGUAUUCUAACAUAAAAUGAUCCGAUAAUCGAUCAACGGACUAAGUUACCCUGGGGAUAACAGCGCAAUCCAUUUCAAGAGCCCCUAUCGACAAAUGGGUUUACGACCUCGAUGUUGGAUCAGGAUAUCCUAGUGGUGCAGCAGCUACUGAAGGUUCGUUUGUUCAACGAUUAAAAUCCU